GAAAUGCGAUAAGUAAUGUGAAGUGCAGAAUUCAGUGAAUCAUCGAAUCUUUGAACGCACCUUGCGCUCCUUGGUAUUCCGAGGAGCAUGCCUGUUUGAGUGUCAUGGAAUUCUCAACUCUAUUUGCUUUUGUGAAUAGAGCUUGGAUUUGGAGGUUUAUUGCUGGUACUUGUGAUCGGCUCCUCUUGAAUGCAUUAGCUCGAACCUUUGCGGAUCAGCUAUCGGUGUGAUAAUUGUCUACGCCGUUGCAGUGAAGCAUAUCAAUGGGCUCGGCUUCCAAUCGUCCUUUACUGGACAAUGACUUUGACCUUUGACCUCAAAUCAGGUAGGAUUACCCGCUGAACUUAAGC
Molecule: unclassified non-coding RNA, 350 nt
Filed under: plant metagenome
Description: partial contains 5.8S ribosomal RNA, internal transcribed spacer 2, and large subunit ribosomal RNA
Rfam family: 5.8S ribosomal RNA (bases 1-105)
Source: RNAcentral